GGCGCCAUAGCCAAGUGGAAAGGCAGAGGUCUGCAAAAACUUUAUCCCCGGUUCAAAUCCGGGUGGUGCCUCCA
This 74-nucleotide transfer RNA is filed under the name Clostridiales bacterium. RNAcentral describes it as "tRNA-Cys". It matches the Rfam family "tRNA". From Rfam's summary of the family: Transfer RNA (tRNA) molecules are approximately 80 nucleotides in length. Their secondary structure includes four short double-helical elements and three loops (D, anti-codon, and T loops). Further hydrogen bonds mediate the characteristic L-shaped molecular structure. tRNAs have two regions of fundamental functional importance: the anti-codon, which is responsible for specific mRNA codon recognition, and the 3' end, to which the tRNAs corresponding amino acid is attached (by aminoacyl-tRNA synthetases). tRNAs cope with the degeneracy of the genetic code in two manners: having more than one tRNA (with a specific anti-codon) for a particular amino acid; and 'wobble' base-pairing, i.e. permitting non-standard base-pairing at the 3rd anti-codon position. Lineage: Bacteria; Bacillati; Bacillota; Clostridia; Eubacteriales. The record is from RNAcentral.